This 207-nucleotide long non-coding RNA is filed under the name Vitis vinifera (wine grape). Its description in RNAcentral is "long non-coding RNA (VVIN_LNC001072)". Lineage: Eukaryota; Viridiplantae; Streptophyta; Magnoliopsida; Vitales; Vitaceae. The record is from RNAcentral.
UAGACAACUGAUAAAUUAUAGUGUUCUAAAAAUUCUUAUGAAUUAUUUCUGCCCUUGGAUUAAAAUUUUGGACGAUAUAGACAUCUUAAAUGAGUUGUGUUAUUUUUUUAUGAAUUUAUAAAGCCUCUAGGGUUUUUUUUUUUUUUUUUUUAAUCUAGUUUUCAUUGGUUACUGUUUUUGGCCAAAUUCUGGAUCUUUUGGAAAUUU